GCCUGAUGCAGCAACGCCGCGUGAGGGACGACGGCCUUUCGGGUUGUAAACCUCUUUUAGUAGGGAAGAAGCGAAAGUGACGGUACCUGCAGAAAAAGCACCGGCUAACUACGUGCCAGCAGCCGCGGUAAUACGUAGGGUGCAAGCGUUGUCCGGAAUUAUUGGGCGUAAAGAGCUCGUAGGCGGUUUGUCGCGUCUGCUGUGAAAACUGGAGGCUCAACCUCCAGCCUGCAGUGGGUACGGGCAAACUAGAGUGCGGUAGGGGAGAUUGGAAUUCCUGGUGUAGCGGUGGAAUGCGCAGAUAUCAGGAGGAACACCGAUGGCGAAGGCAGAUCUCUGGGCCGUAACUGACGCUGAGGAGCGAAAGCGUGGGGAGCGAACAGGAUUAGAUACCCUGGUAGUCCACGCCGUAAACGUUGGGAACUAGAUGUGGGGGCCAUUCCACGGCUUCCGUGUCGCAGCUAACGCAUUAAGUUCCCCGCCUGGGGAGUACGGCCGCAAGGCUAAAACUCAAAGGAAUUGACGGGGGCCCGCACAAGCGGCGGAGCAUGCGGAUUAAUUCGAUGCAACGCGAAGAACCUUACCAAGGCUUGACAUAUACGAGAACGCUGCAGAAAUGUAGAACUCUUUGGAC
This 634-nucleotide ribosomal RNA is filed under the name Leifsonia sp. Ri2Pt_4166. RNAcentral's name for it is "bacterial SSU rRNA". It matches the Rfam family "Bacterial small subunit ribosomal RNA", at positions 381 to 1027 of the family's 1533-position model. The record is from RNAcentral. Lineage: Bacteria; Bacillati; Actinomycetota; Actinomycetes; Micrococcales; Microbacteriaceae.